RNAcentral lists this ribosomal RNA (211 nucleotides) under uncultured bacterium. RNAcentral's name for it is "partial 16S ribosomal RNA". It matches the Rfam family "Bacterial small subunit ribosomal RNA", at positions 524 to 734 of the family's 1533-position model. The record is from RNAcentral.
UACGAAGGGGGCAAGCGUUAUUCGGAAUCAUUGGGCGUAAAGCGCGCGUAGGCGGUUUAGUAAGUCUGAUGUGAAAGCUCGAGGCUCAACCGCGAAGGGGCGUUUGAAACUGGUAGACUAGAGUGUAGGAGAGGAAAGGGGAAUUCCAGGUGUAGCGGUAAAAUGCGUAGAGAUAUGAAGGAACACCGGGGGCGAAGGCGACUGUCUGGAC